AUGCUAUGACCUCGAAGCAUAGCUGAAUACUCCCAGAACAAGGCAUACCUUUGCCAAUCGAUGAACGACUUUGAGAUGGAUUUGGAGAUGCAACGUGACUUGGAGAUGGAGACGAGCCUGGGCCUUUGUCAAAACAGAAUUUCUUAACCAUUGAAGCUUGCAAUUGGCUUUAUCGCUUCUCAGUGAGAAAAAUUGGGGUAUCCACCACUUAGGAGUUUGCUUCUUCACCUUUUGAUGUUCGAUUUGCUUCUGCGUUUUAUUGAUCAACAAAUGGUGUGUUUCGAAUCGCCGUCAAAUUAGUAGCGAAAUUCCCGCCUUUGAUCACAACUCAGGUGUUAUUGGAGGGACAGUUCUUGCUG
This 359-nucleotide long non-coding RNA is filed under the name Rosa chinensis. RNAcentral's name for it is "sRNA RchiOBHm_Chr4g0404921". The record is from RNAcentral. Lineage: Eukaryota; Viridiplantae; Streptophyta; Magnoliopsida; Rosales; Rosaceae.